Molecule: long non-coding RNA, 770 nt
Filed under: Equus asinus (donkey)
Lineage: Eukaryota; Metazoa; Chordata; Mammalia; Perissodactyla; Equidae
Description: lncRNA (ENSEASG00005025280.1)
Source: RNAcentral
CGGAUGCAGAGGCAACAGAGGUAGGGAGAGGGCCAAUGGCUGAUGAUGAUGCGAUGUGCUCAACCCAUGCUGAAGUUUCAGAGCUGCGAAAUGUUGCUACACUUUUUUCCAAACAACAAAUAUAAUGACUGAGCACUCCUAACAAGGGAAUAUUAAGGAAGUUUCUGAAAGAGAGGAAUAACAAGUAAAAAAAAAAAGAGCUAUGGAAAAAUAAUCAAGCUUCCUGUGCAGAAGGAAAAAAGUCUACUCAGAGGAAGUACUGAGUAGUAAAUUAUAAAACAAUUGUCAUAGCAUACUCUGGCUUGAUGUGGGCUGGUGUUAAAUACAAUGACCCACUUAAAAGAGACAGGUAUGUGAUGUUGGGUCUUCCAUGGGAAAUUGUUCAUCAGCCUCAGAUGGAUAUCUGAGGAAUACCACACUGCAGUCUGUCAAAGGUGAUGUGGGAAAUCUUGGAGCCUAAAGUGGGUUACAACAGGAGAAAAUCAGACGUCUUUGCAACGGAGGCUGAUGCAUUUUUAGAAGCCAGAAGAGAGAAGACUUACUAGAUGGUUUUCAGUUUUGGUCAUUGAUCCUGACAUAAUAGAAUGUGACCUACGUAGAGAAGACAAAACGCAGAAAUACAACACAACCAAAGAAUACAUGCUGGAAAAGGGAUCACUGAAGAAAAACGGAUAGGAAGUAUAUCUCAUAUUUUUGUGUGUGCAGGCAUACCUCGGAGAUGUUGUGGGUUUGGUACCUGACUGCUGCAAUAAAGCUAAUAUCACAAUAAA